AUCUUCCGUUAUUUGAACAAAUUACAUACGCGAGAAGCAUCUCUCAAGAACUUGUUGCGAGGCACUGUGCAACCGAGAAAUUUGCUCGUUCAUGAUAUGCUCCAUCAUUCGGUUGUUCUCACGCGAACACUCGAAAAAC
This is a non-coding RNA of Caenorhabditis elegans, 139 nucleotides long. NCBI's taxonomy places the organism in Eukaryota, Metazoa, Nematoda, Chromadorea, Rhabditida, Rhabditidae. The record is from Ensembl.